This 134-nucleotide ribosomal RNA is filed under the name Hymenochaete sp. Its description in RNAcentral is "partial large subunit ribosomal RNA". It matches the Rfam family "Eukaryotic large subunit ribosomal RNA", at positions 99 to 229 of the family's 3401-position model. Lineage: Eukaryota; Fungi; Basidiomycota; Agaricomycetes; Hymenochaetales; Hymenochaetaceae. The record is from RNAcentral.
CGGGAUGAGCUCAAAUUUAAAAUCUGGCGGUUUAGGCCGUCCGAGUUGUAAUCUGGAGAAGCGUUUUCUGCGUUGGACCGUGUACAAGUCUCUUGGAACAGAGCGUCAUAGAGGGUGAGAAUCCCGUCCACGAC